This 491-nucleotide ribosomal RNA is filed under the name uncultured bacterium. Its description in RNAcentral is "partial 16S ribosomal RNA". It matches the Rfam family "Bacterial small subunit ribosomal RNA", at positions 29 to 506 of the family's 1533-position model. The record is from RNAcentral.
AGUGAACGCUGGCGGUAGGCCUAACACAUGCAAGUCGAACGGCAGCACAGUAAGAGCUUGCUCUUACGGGUGGCGAGUGGCGGACGGGUGAGGAAUACAUCGGAAUCUACUUUUUCGUGGGGGAUAACGUAGGGAAACUUACGCUAAUACCGCAUACGACCUACGGGUGAAAGCAGGGGAUCUUCGGACCUUGCGCGAUUGAAUGAGCCGAUGUCGGAUUAGCUAGUUGGCGGGGUAAAGGCCCACCAAGGCGACGAUCCGUAGCUGGUCUGAGAGGAUGAUCAGCCACCAGGGAACUGAGACAGGGUCCAGACCCCUAGGGGAGGCAGCAGGGGGGAAUUUUGGACAAGGGGCGAAAGCCUGACCCAGCCAUACCGGGGGGGUGAAGAAGGCCUUCGGGUUGUAAAGCCCUUUUGUUGGGAAAGAAAAGCAGCAGGUUAAUACCCCGCUGUUCUGACGGUACCCAAAGAAUAAGCACCGGCUAACUUCGU